UACGUAGGGAGCAAGCGUUGUCCGGAUUCACUGGGUGUAAAGGGUGCGCAGGCGGAUCGGUAAGUCAGAGGUGAAAUCUCACAGCUCAACUGUGAAACUGCCUUUGAUACUGCUGAUCUUGAGUUAGGGAGAGGUUGAUGGAAUUCCAGGUGUAGCGGUGAAAUGCGUAGAUAUCAGGAGGAACACCGGUGGCGAAGGCGGGUCUCUGGGCCGAUACUGACGCUGAGGAGCGAAAGCGUGGGGAGCGAACAGG
This 253-nucleotide ribosomal RNA is filed under the name uncultured bacterium. RNAcentral's name for it is "partial 16S ribosomal RNA". It matches the Rfam family "Bacterial small subunit ribosomal RNA", at positions 524 to 776 of the family's 1533-position model. The record is from RNAcentral.